UCUUUGAGCGUUAACUAUAUCCAUCUACACCUGUGAACUGUUGAUUGACUUCGGUCAAUUACUUUUACAAACAUUGUGUAAUGAACGUCAUGUUAUUAUAACAAAAAUAACUUUCAACAACGGAUCUCUUGGCUCUCGCAUCGAUGAAGAACGCAGCAAAGAUCAUUAGUGAAUUGCUCUUUGAGCGUUAAACUAUAUCCAUCUACCUGGGAAACGAUUUAUUGACUUCGAUUAUUACUUU
Molecule: unclassified non-coding RNA, 241 nt
Filed under: Cutaneotrichosporon mucoides
Lineage: Eukaryota; Fungi; Basidiomycota; Tremellomycetes; Trichosporonales; Trichosporonaceae
Description: sequence contains ITS1, ITS2
Rfam family: 5.8S ribosomal RNA (bases 109-216)
Source: RNAcentral